Molecule: ribosomal RNA, 447 nt
Filed under: Babesia sp.
Lineage: Eukaryota; Apicomplexa; Aconoidasida; Piroplasmida; Babesiidae
Description: SSU rRNA
Rfam family: Eukaryotic small subunit ribosomal RNA
Source: RNAcentral
GUCUUGUAAUUGGAAUGAUGGGAAUCUAAACCCUUCCCAGAGUAUCAAUUGGAGGGCAAGUCUGGUGCCAGCAGCCGCGGUAAUUCCAGCUCCAAUAGCGUAUAUUAAAGUUGUUGCAGUUAAGAAGCUCGUAGUUGAAUUUCUGCCUUAUCAUUAAUUUCGCUUCCGAACGUAAUUUUAUUGAUUUGGCAUCUUCUGGAUUUAUAUUUUUAUUAAUAUUUUUCCAGUAUUUACUUUGAGAAAACUAGAGUGUUUCAAACAGGCUAUUGCCUUGAAUACUACAGCAUGGAAUAAUGAAGUAGGACUUUGGUUCUAUUUUGUUGGUUAUCGAACCAUAGUAAUGGUUAAUAGGAGCAGUUGGGGGCAUUCGUAUUUAACUGUCAGAGGUGAAAUUCUUAGAUUUGUUAAAGACGAACUACUGCGAAAGCAUUUGCCAAGGAUGUUUUC